AGCUCCUUGUCAAAGCCCAAUCUCAUCAGAUCUCAGAAGCAAAGCAGGGUUGGGCCUGGUUAGUAUUUGAAUUGGAGAUUGUUUGGAAUACGAGGUG
This 97-nucleotide ribosomal RNA is filed under the name Periophthalmus magnuspinnatus. The record is from RNAcentral. Lineage: Eukaryota; Metazoa; Chordata; Actinopteri; Gobiiformes; Gobiidae.